Molecule: ribosomal RNA, 500 nt
Filed under: uncultured bacterium
Lineage: Bacteria
Description: partial 16S ribosomal RNA
Rfam family: Bacterial small subunit ribosomal RNA
Source: RNAcentral
AUUGAACGCUGGCGGCAGGCCUAACACAUGCAAGUCGAGCGGAUGACGGGAGCUUGCUCCUUGAUUCAGCGGCGGACGGGUGAGUAAUGCCUAGGAAUCUGCCUGGUAGUGGGGGACCACGUUUCGAAAGGAACGCUAAUACCGCAUACGUCCUACGGGAGAAAGCAGGGGACCUUCGGGCCUUGCGCUAUCAGAUGAGCCUAGGUCGGAUUAGCUAGUUGGUGGGGUAAUGGCUCACCAAGGCGACGAUCCGUAACUGGUCUGAGAGGAUGAUCAGUCACACUGGAACUGAGACACGGUCCAGACUCCUACGGGAGGCAGCAGUGGGGAAUAUUGGACAAUGGGCGAAAGCCUGAUCCAGCCAUGCCGCGUGUGUGAAGAAGGUCUUCGGAUUGUAAAGCACUUUAAGUUGGGAGGAAGGGCAGUAAGCUAAUACCUUGCUGUUUUGACGUUACCGACAGAAUAAGCACCGGCUAACUCUGUGCCAGCAGCCGCCGCAG